AUUAGAUAAAAAACCAAUACUCUUUAGAGCUUCUUGGUAAUUCAUAAUAACUUAUCAAAUCACAUGAUCUUGUGCUGGUGAUAGUUCAUUCAAAUUUCUGCCCUAUCAACUUUUAAUAGUAGGAUAGUGGCCUACCAUGGUGGCAACAGGUAACAGGGAAUUAGAAUUCAAUUUCAGAGAGAAAGUCUGAGAAACAGCUAUCAUAUCUAAGAAAGGCAGCAGGCAUGCAAAUUACCCAAUUCCAAUACAGGAAGAUAGUAACAAUAAAUACUGAUACAGGGCUCUUUCAGAUCUUGUAAUUGGAAUGAGUACAAUUUAAACAUCUUAAUAAGAAGCAAUUGAAGGGCAAGUCUGGUGCCAGCAGCCAUAGUAAUUCCAGCUUCAAUAGCAUAUAUUAAAGUUGUUGCAGUUAAAAAGCUUAUAGUUGAAUCUUGGGUCUGGCUGGCAAGUCCAUCUUACCACAUAUACUGGUCUGGCUGGAUCUUUUCUUCUGGGGAGUCCCAUGGUCUUUAUUGG
This 516-nucleotide ribosomal RNA is filed under the name uncultured fungus. RNAcentral's name for it is "bacterial SSU rRNA". It matches the Rfam family "Eukaryotic small subunit ribosomal RNA", at positions 209 to 725 of the family's 1831-position model. Lineage: Eukaryota; Fungi. The record is from RNAcentral.